RNAcentral lists this ribosomal RNA (1230 nucleotides) under denitrifying bacterium enrichment culture clone NOB_2_A7. RNAcentral's name for it is "bacterial SSU rRNA". It matches the Rfam family "Bacterial small subunit ribosomal RNA", at positions 258 to 1493 of the family's 1533-position model. The record is from RNAcentral.
CAAAAACAAAGGGGCGACAGGAUGGUAAGGCCUGUUUCUGAGAGGGAUGAAUACAGCCCCCACCUGGACUGAGACCGGUUCCAGAAUCCUACGGGAGGCAGCAGUGAGGAUAUGCGCAUGGAGGAAACUCUGACGCAGCGACGCCGCGUGACGAUGAGGCCCUCUGGGUGUAAACUUCUGUAGAGAGGGAGAUUUCCCGUUUCGCGGGAUGACGGUACCUCUAAAGUAAGGGUCGGCUAACUACGUGCCAGCAGCCGCGGUAAUACGUAGGACCCGAGCGUUGUCCGGAUUUACUGGGUGUAAAGGGAGCGCAGGCGGAUUUUCAAGUCGAUGGUGAAAUCUUGCGGCUCAACCGCAAAACUGCCGUCGAUACUGUUUAUCUUGAGUGUGGAAGAGAGUGGCGGAAUUCAUGGUGUAGCAGUGAAAUGCGUAGAUAUCAUGAAGAACACCGGUUGCGAAGGCGGCCACUUGGUCCAUUACUGACGCUCAUGCUCGAAAGCGUGGGGAUCAAACAGGAUUAGAUACCCUGGUAGUCCACGCCCUAAACGAUGAAUACUCGGUGUCGGGUCGCAAGACUCGGCGCCUAAGCAAACGCAUUAAGUAUUCCACCUGGGAAGUACGAUCGCAAGGUUGAAACUCAAAGGAAUUGACGGGGGCCCGCACAAGCAGUGGAGCAUGUGGUUUAAUUCGAUGUAACGCGAAGAACCUUACCUGGGCUUGAAAGGCAAGAUUCUAGACGAUGAAAGUCGUUUACCCGCAAGGGGUCUUGUACAGGUGCUGCAUGGCUGUCGUCAGCUCGUGCCGUGAGGUGUUAGGUUAAGUCCUGCAACGAGCGCAACCCCUACACUUAGUUGCCAUCAGGUAAUGCUGGGCACUCUAAGUGGACUGCCUACGCAAGUAGCGAGGAAGGUGGGGAUGACGUCAAGUCCUCAUGGCCCUUACGCCCAGGGCCACACACGUGCUACAAUGGCCACUACAAAGGGUUGCCAAGGCGCAAGCCGGAGCUAAUCCCAAAAAAGUGGUCUCAGUUCAGAUUGUGGGCUGCAACUCGCCCGCAUGAAGCUGGAAUUGCUAGUAAUCGCAGAUCAGCACGCUGCGGUGAAUACGUUCCCGGGCCUUGUACACACCGCCCGUCAAGCCAUGGAAGCUGAGGGUACCCGAAGCCGCUGUGCUAACCGCAAGGAAGCAGGCGUCUAAGGUAAAAUCAGUGACUGGGGCUAAGUCGUAACA